RNAcentral lists this long non-coding RNA (366 nucleotides) under Elaeis guineensis (African oil palm). RNAcentral describes it as "long non-coding RNA (EGUI_LNC059116)". Lineage: Eukaryota; Viridiplantae; Streptophyta; Magnoliopsida; Arecales; Arecaceae. The record is from RNAcentral.
CUGCCAGAUUCCUCAUGCAAUUGGACCUCUCCAGUGGACAGUCUUCAGACAAGCUUCUACAUCAGACAAAUUUUAGACGAACUUUUCUAGCAAUCAAACUCCAGCCGGAUUUCUCCAACAGAAAGUUUUCGUCCGAGCUUCUACAGCAGAUGACUUCCGUCUGCAGCAUCAACGUCUAAGGCACCCAACAACAGUUAACCCAUCAGUAACCUCGAAAACAUUCGAUCUUCUCUUAGAUUGUCGAGACAAAGAGCUAUUCCACUCCACCAGACAUCCCAACCGAGCUUCAACUGUCGGACCUAAACUCUCCGACAAGUCGCGACAACGGACACCACUCCACUCUCUGUAACAAACUCCACAUGGCCC